This 433-nucleotide ribosomal RNA is filed under the name uncultured bacterium. Its description in RNAcentral is "partial 16S ribosomal RNA". It matches the Rfam family "Bacterial small subunit ribosomal RNA", at positions 29 to 507 of the family's 1533-position model. The record is from RNAcentral.
AACGAACGCUGGCGGCAUGCCUAACACAUGCAAGUCGAACGAGACCUUCGGGUCUAGUGGCGCAUGGGUGCGUAACGCGUGGGAACCUGCCCUUAUGUUCGGAAUAACUCCCCGAAAGGGGUGCUAAUACCGGAUAAUGUCUUCGGACCAAAGAUUUAUCGCCUUUGGAUGGGCCCGCGUUGGAUUAGCUAGUUGGUAGGGUAAAAGCCUACCAAGGCGACGAUCCAUAGCUGGUCUGAGAGGAUGAUCAGCCACACUGAGACUGAGACACGGCCCAGACUCCUGCGGGAGGCGGCAGUGGGGAAUAUUGGACAAUGGGCGGAAGGCUGAUCCAGCAAUGCCGCGUGAGUGAUGAAGGCCUUAGGGUUGUAAAGCUCUUUUACCCGGGAUGAUAAUGACGGUACCGGGAGAAUAAGCACCGGCUAACUCCGUG